AGAGUUUGAUCCUGGCUCAGGAUGAACGCUGGCGGCGUGCUUAACACAUGCAAGUCGAACGGAACGCCAAGGAAAGAGUUUUCGGACAAUGGAAUUGGUUGUUUAGUGGCGGACGGGUGAGUAACGCGUGAGUAACCUGCCUUGGAGUGGGGAAUAACACAGUGAAAACUGUGCUAAUACCGCAUGAUAUAUUGGUGUCGCAUGGCACUGAUAUCAAAGAUUUAUCGCUCUGAGAUGGACUCGCGUCUGAUUAGAUAGUUGGCGGGGUAACGGCCCACCAAGUCGACGAUCAGUAGCCGGACUGAGAGGUUGGCCGGCCACAUUGGGACUGAGACACGGCCCAGACUCCUACGGGAGGCAGCAGUGGGGAAUAUUGGGCAAUGGGCGCAAGCCUGACCCAGCAACGCCGCGUGAAGGAAGAAGGCUUUCGGGUUGUAAACUUCUUUUAACAGGGACGAAGUAAGUGACGGUACCUGUUGAAUAAGCCACGGCUAACUACGUGCCAGCAGCCGCGGU
Molecule: ribosomal RNA, 516 nt
Filed under: human intestinal firmicute CJ36
Lineage: Bacteria
Description: bacterial SSU rRNA
Rfam family: Bacterial small subunit ribosomal RNA
Source: RNAcentral